RNAcentral lists this long non-coding RNA (2707 nucleotides) under Gossypium barbadense (sea-island cotton). Its description in RNAcentral is "long non-coding RNA (GBAR_LNC019484)". Lineage: Eukaryota; Viridiplantae; Streptophyta; Magnoliopsida; Malvales; Malvaceae. The record is from RNAcentral.
UUUGGUUCACCGUUUGUGAUUCCACGGAGUUGCUAUUACAUGCGCAUUCCCUCAGCUCACGGAAUUGCUAUUACAGGGGUUGGGGUCUGAAUACCUAUUCAACGCCCCACCGUUUAGGUUUUUAGACCAAAAUAUCCCGCCUCUAUUUUUCUUAAAAUUCAUCACUCCAGAUUUCUUCCUCCCCAAAUCAAACAUCCAUUCGCCCUUCAUCUUCAUCUCCUACAUUUUCUUUUUCUUUUUUUUCCUGAUUCCUUUUAGUUAAAGUUCUUUCAUCUUCAUCUCCCCAAAUAUUGUAAGUUCGGUUGAGACUUUUUCUGCCCUUCUUUUCCCCUUUCAGCCACGUUUUCUUAUUCUUGUUUACACAAAUUAAAAUUAUGAUGUUUCUAUUGGAUGCACUUAAAUCCAGAAGUACCAGCAAAGUACUGAGAUCUCCUCAUCAGGAAACUGCCUUUCCAAAGGCUUGUUCGUGAAAUUACCCAAGACUUUGAAGUUAAUACCAUUAAAUUACUGCUUCUUCUUCUUUUCUGUUUAAUUAUUGUAAAGAAAUCAAAACUUAAGCUCAAAGUAUGGUUACGGUUAUGGUUAUAUAAGAUAAGAAUGUUUGCAUUUCAUGAAGACGGACAAUAAAAAAAAUUUGGUAGGGUGAGGAACAUCCAAAAAAUUUCUUAUCUGUAAGCAUAUAGGCUUUAAAUACUAGCCACCAGUAAAGAAGCUAAGUUGGAAAAGGGAAAAAGGAAAAAAAUACAUAUGUUUUUCAAGGUGGUUCUCUUCUUGUUUUUUGGAUUGUUUUCCGAAUGGCUUGUGAUUUCGAUUAGUUGAGUUCUCUUUAUUUGCAUUUCUUUAAAUUUUUUAAUGAUAAAAUUGUGGGUUUUAAUAUUAAGAGGAUGUUAACAUGGAGUUUAUGUUUUGGUUUUUGUAUUGGAUUAAGUUGAUGUUUUUCUUUAGAAAAGAUUGAUUAGUUAAGUGAGAGUCUAUAUUCAGAAUUUAAUCACGAAUACUGCCUAGUAGUAUGUGUGGAUGCGGAUUUGAGAAUUGCCUUUGUUUCUGUUUAUGGAUUAUGCCUCUAAUUAACAUUUGACGAACUUUGUUUAGACUAUAAAUAUAUGUGUGGAUGCGGAUUUGAGAAUUGCCUUUGUUUCUGUUUAUGGAUUAUGCCUCUAAUUAACAUUUGACGAACUUUGUUUAGACUAUAAAUAUAUGAUAUGAAAUAAUUUUGUUAGACAUAUCGAUUUGUAGUCAACGAAGAACCAUUGCUGUAAUUAACAUUUGACCAACUUUCUUUAGACUAUAAUAACUAGAAAAAAGAAAAACUAGAUACUUACGUUACCUUCCUUAGUUAUAGUCAUGGCAUGGCUUUCUUUGUUUUCUGAAUGACUUGUGAUUUCAACUAGUUGAGUUUUCUUUAUUUGCAUUUCUUGAAUUUUUUUUAUUAUAAUUUUAGCAAUCAAAUUUGUAGAUGAUGAAGAAUUAUUAUUGCUACAGAUAAAAGGACUUCAAAGCUCCACAGUGCACCCAUUUGGGAUAUUUUAGUACAGAUUUUUUUUUAUAAUUUAUGUAUGAUUUUGUAGCUACCUAAUUAUGAUAUUGAGAGUUUCCCUUUAUAACUAGCAAUAUUAGAGAUGAAAUGAUACAUCAUAUUCAUACAUAGAUAAAUAACUCAAACAUGACAAGAAGAUGUGUUAUUCAAAAUCUGUAAAAUAUGAAUUAUUAAUUAGAAUUAUAGGAUGAUGACAUGACUGUUAGCAGAACAUGGCAUAGAUACACAAAUUACUAGGUAACAUUUUUUCUCUUCUAGGAAAUUUACUCAUUAUUUGCAUGAUUUGACCAUUUGAACGAGAUGAAAUAUUUGUUCUAGUGUUGCCUAUUUCAUAUGUUUUGCCAAGAUCAAUUGCUUGACAUAGAAUAGUUAAGAAAGCGAUAAGAUAUAUUCUUUAAGGAUCUUUUAGUCUUGUGUUUCUAUGCUAUACUUGCUAGAUUAAUUGCUUGUGUGAUGCUUUCUCCAUUUUUGCAAGAGCUGGUGGAAAUUGUUAUGAUUGGUGUUUGUUCUGUUAACAUAUUUAAGCUAUCUUUAGUGUGUUCAAUGUUGGUAAGACGUUAAAAAUACUCAAAAAAGUGUAUGAAGACUACUAUGUUAUGGCUGUUAACAUAUGUUAUGGAUUGUGGCAUGGCCAUCAGGUAUUAUUUUCUUCUUUCCGCUGGUAUAUAGUAGUGGACUUUGCAUUUUAAAUCAGUAAGUAGUUUGCCAUUGAUGCGGAUUAUAAAUUUAUAUUGAAGCAUGCAUCUCCUACUGUGAAAAAUAUGUGAUUUAAUUUCAUGCUAAUGGUGUUAUCCACACCUAUGUCACUUGGAUUCUGUUGUGAAAUAUCGGAUGCAAGAAUGUGUCCAACUUGCAUAUGCUCUUUUUUUCCUUUUUUUUUUUUCAAGUUUUCCCAUGUAUUUUUGAAUGAUCCGUCAGGGAUAUAUCUCUGAACCCUUGUAGAUCUGCACAUUUCAGCCAAUACUAAUCCGUCUUAAUACGACUUUGAUGCAUCAAGGUCAUUCCCUGGGGUGACCUAGACUCCUUAGCCAUGCUACAGAGGCAACUGGAUGUAGACAUACUUGUAACAGGUCACACCCACCAGUUCACCGCUUACAAAUAUGAAGGCGGAGUUGUUAUAAACCCGGGGUCUGCUACUGGUGCAUAUAGCAGCAUCACUUACGAUGUCAA